GCAGCACAUAACUCAUCGAACAGUGCAAUAUACUUAAAAUAUAUACUGAAUCACAAAUAUUUAGUAAAAUAGCGAUAAAUAUUAGUUGAAUAAUAGAAUAAUUGAGGAAUCAAAGUAAUAAUCAAUUACAUUAAAAAGCAAAAGAAAAGCACACAGCUUAAAUUAAAAAAUUCUCAUUUGCGAUUCUAGAUAAUGUUAAAAUCACCCUAGCAAAGUUGUCUUUCUGCAUCAAAGAAAAACAAUCAAUAUUAGUUGUGACACCCAAAUCCAUUUUAAUUUUAAAUGAAAACGCACGCGGAAAAACUAUGAAUAUAAAUAAAUAUUUAAUGAGAAAAUCAGGAAAUAAAUUUUUAUUUAAACAUACUUUACUCAAAAUAACAUUUUUAGGUAAUGCUAAAUUCAAAAUAUUUGACUCGCCAUUCGACCUUCCACGCGCCUCCGGCCUUUAAAACCUGAAAAUGUUAAGUAUGGGAUGAGCAUACAUGGUACACUCAGUGUGGGAACAUGCAAUCAUUGUCCACGUUAAUAAAAUGAGAAUCACAUAUGAUCAAUACAUUCGUGACUGAAAGUCGCACGGUGGCAUACCAAGGACCUUUCCGUCCUGGACCGAUUGGGCCGGCCCCUGGCGACUGGUUGCAACCAUAACUGUAACAUAAAAUCGCAUUGUGGCAUACCAAGGACGGUGAAGUCCUGGACCCAUUGAGCGGGCCCCUAGCGAUAUAACUGAAUUUAAUGCAACUCACAUAUGGUAAACACAUAAUAUUAAAAUGGACAAGAAUUAACCACAGCAUGUACUGAAAUAAAUCCCACACCUGGACUUUGAACUUGAACUUCAACUUGAAUGCUAACUUGAGUAAAUCAAAUAAAAGUAACGUCCUAGUCGCGCCGCACCUAGUCAGAUAAAUUCAAAUAAUAAAAUAUAAGGGCCUAAUUGAACUUUAGAAAAAUAAUAUGAACUUUGAGAAUUUUAUAUAAGACCAUUAAAAUCAUUGAUUUAAUAAUUUAAAUAAUAAGAUAUAAUUUCUUAUGAAAAUUUUGAUUAGUAAAAUAAUUUAAGGAUAAAUCCAACUUAAUUAAAAGAAAUAUGCAGCUCAAAAUAAUUAAAAUUAAGCCCAAUUACUUAAGUGAAAUUGAGCCCAUGAGGUAAUUAAAAUUAAACCCAACUAUUUAAAUAAAAUUAAGCUCCAGUUUAAAGCCCAUUUCUCAGCCCAUCAUUUAACCCUAACUUAAACUCACCAACACACACCAACACACAAACUCACGCAGCCUCACUCCCUCUCUUCUUCUCUCCCUCUCGGUGCCCUGCCGCCGCGCCGUCGUCGAAGGCCGGCGGCUCCUACCUCCUCACUCUCCUUCCCUAUCUUCCUAUCUCCCUUCAUCCUCCCCUGCCCCUGUCCUCGCCGUCCCAGCCACCUCCUCCUUCGACCGGAACAGCACAGCAGAGCCGAGACCGCGCCGCCGCCCCUGUCUCCUCCCUACGGCCGCCGUGGCGCACAGCGCCGGCGGCGCUGUUCUUCAGCCAUCCCCCUCUCUCUGCUUCCCCUCAGCCUAACAGCCAUCGGGAAAGCCGAUGCUGCGGCGCCUCCUCUGCCCCCUCCUCUAUCUUCGACCAGCCGUUGCCGCCACCGCCACCGACAGCAGUGAAGGGUUGUAUACUGAAAGCAAGACUUUAUGCUUGUAUACAUUGAUUCCUUAGUUCACUGUGAUUCUUCUAUCUGAAAUAUUGUUAUUGCAUAAUCCUAUUAUAGUCCAAUUUAUCUCAUACUAUAGAUUAUAUGGUGUGUUGUAGAUCACAGAAGAUCAUAUAAUUGGAAAACGUUGAGAUAUAAAUUGAGUUCACAAUCGAGGCAACUAUGGACGAGUUGCUGGUUUAGAUUGUAGCAUAAAUGGAUAAAUAGUUUGUCUUGGCUAUUUAUUUAUGCUAGUACCUUCGUGUAUUGAACAGGAUCACAGUGAGAUGAAUUCUUAUAUUCUGACUAAUUAAGAAUCAAGAUCUCGGCGACUUAAAUAGUCUUAACCUUAGUUGGAUUAAUCGGUGUGAAUAAUAUAUUGACUAUUGCUUUGAUUUAUCAUGGGUGAGAGUUCUCUUGAAGCUCAAUAUACUCGAUACUUUGGGUGAUAGCAAUUAUUAUUUGACAUGCGAUUAUAUUGCAAUAAGGAUCCGUGUCCUGCUAAUAACAGGAUGAUAAUAUCCUCUCGAGGAACUUAAUAAGUUUAUCGUAUUAAACCCUGCAGGUGGAAUUAGUUCCGAUACGAUAAUAAGUUUAAGUGGUAGCACUCGAGAUGUCGUUUAUAAUUAAACGACUAAUUAAUUAAUUAAUUGAUCGUCAGAGGAAUUAAUUAAUUAAUGGAUAUUGGAUAUCUUAAACACGGGGAUUAAUUAAGUCUAAUACUAGCCCCGACUCACCUAAAGAAUAAAGAGGUAAUUCAGUAUUAAUUUUCUAGUGGAAUAAAUUAAUACUUGUGUCUCGAUUUUAUUCUGGGCUGAAUAGGAAAAUCGAGCACUGGGAGGCCAAACUUUAUUCAAGCUAGUAGAUCCCCGCUUGGCCCAAUAAAGGCUUCACUCCAUAUGGGGCGUUCGUCCAUCUAUUUCUCACUUAAGCCUUUGGGCUUUGUUUAGUUUAAUUAGAUGAUGGGCUUAUUAUUUAGGGUUUUAAUGCCCAGUAUAAAUAAUAGGUACAGCCCUAAUUCUAAUUUACUUGUGACAUUACGUGAGGUAAAAUAGAGAGAAAUCUGUGAGAACACAGAAACUGAGGCGGCGCGUUUCCCCAGGAAAAGGAGAGGACUUGAAGAUCGUUGCCACCCAACGUCAAGUCUUGCCGUGGGAACAAGUUGGAAGAUCAACACUGGAGUCGAUCAUUGCCGGAUUUGCAAGUAAGAUUUCAUCCUCUUGCUUUAGGCACAUGGUUUUUGUAUGUAUUCGUUUGAUAUCCGAAAUGGGUCACGGGCACGUGAAUCAUAUAUCAAAAUAUGGUUCCUUCAAGCAGCAGUUGGCAGGUCGCCGCCUCCUACCCUCUUUCCUGCUCGACAACAGCUGUUCCCCCAAAAUUCUCCCAUCUCCACUCUACCUCUAUGUCUCUAAUUUCAUUUUAUUCUUUCUUUUUCUCAUGAAUUAAAUGAAUGAUUUAGGAAAAUUGUUGGAUUAGAAGCAUGUGUAUGCUGAAUUUGAUUCAACAAUAAAAAUUACUCAGUGUUUCUGCACAACACAAAAGAGGAGAAAUAGAGUUGCUGUGAUGAUUUAAAAUCACAGAAAAUAAAUUUACCAACUGAAGCUCUAUAGAAGGAGAUGAUCGAAGAGAUGUGCUGAGCAAGUUUGAGGUCUCACAGGAAGGUGAAAAAUGAUAGAGGCUGAUGAAUCUGAUGGCUAUAUACAUAGCCGUGAAUGAAUACAAAAGUAUGGCGGUUAAGGUGUAGAAGAUAAUGAUCGAAGAAGUAGAUAAGUGAAUUGAUUUUGAAAGAUAAACAUGAAAUAAAUGAUAAAAAUUAGUGAAGAGAUAAAAAUGGAACGAAUGUGGCUGCACAAAAUUGAGGAAAAUUUGAAUGGCUGAAGAGGAAAACUUGACUGCCAAGAAUUAAGAUUUGUGGCUGAAAAUGGAAACAAAUUGUGGCUUAAAAUAAAAAACACGUUAUUGCUGUUCGAAGAAGGAAAUUGCUAAAAAUUAUGGGCUCUAAUUCAAACCAAGCCCAAUGAAACAUAAAUAAAUACAUAAGGCCCAUUAUAGAGAUUAUUGCUAAUAUAUUUUUAUGGCCCAAUC
This 3755-nucleotide long non-coding RNA is filed under the name Salvia miltiorrhiza (redroot sage). RNAcentral's name for it is "long non-coding RNA (SMIL_LNC008441)". Lineage: Eukaryota; Viridiplantae; Streptophyta; Magnoliopsida; Lamiales; Lamiaceae. The record is from RNAcentral.